UACGUAGGGUGCAAGCGUUGUCCGGAAUUAUUGGGCGUAAAGAGCUCGUAGGCGGUUCGUCGCGUCGGCUGUGAAAACCUGAGGCUCAACCUCAGGCCUGCAGUCGAUACGGGCGGACUUGAGUACUGCAGGGGAGACUGGAAUUCCUGGUGUAGCGGUGAAAUGCGCAGAUAUCAGGAGGAACACCGGUGGCGAAGGCGGGUCUCUGGGCAGUAACUGACGCUGAGGAGCGAAAGCCAGGGGAGCGAACGGG
RNAcentral lists this ribosomal RNA (253 nucleotides) under uncultured bacterium. Its description in RNAcentral is "partial 16S ribosomal RNA". It matches the Rfam family "Bacterial small subunit ribosomal RNA", at positions 524 to 776 of the family's 1533-position model. The record is from RNAcentral.